CCUACGGGGAGCAGCAGUGGGGAAUAUUGGGCAAUGGGCGCAAGCCUGACCCAGCAACGCCGCGUGAAGGAAGAAGGCUCUCGGGUUGUAAACUUCUUUUAUCAGGGACGAAGCAAGUGACGGUACCUGAUGAAUAAGCCACGGCUAACUACGUGCCAGCAGCCGCGGUAAUACGUAGGUGGCAAGCGUUAUCCGGAUUUACUGGGUGGAAAGGGCGUGUAGGCGGGAAAGCAAGUCAGAUGUGAAAACCAUGGGCUCAACCUGUGGCCUGCAUUUGAAACUGUUUUUCUUGAGUACUGGAGAGGCAGACGGAAUUCCUAGUGUAGAGGUGAAAUGCGUAGAUAUUAGGAGGAACACCAGUGGCGAAGGCGGUCUGCUGGACAGCAACUGACGCUGAGGCGCGAAAGCGUGGGGAGCAAACAGGAUUAGAUACCCGGGUAGUC
RNAcentral lists this ribosomal RNA (443 nucleotides) under uncultured bacterium. Its description in RNAcentral is "partial 16S ribosomal RNA". It matches the Rfam family "Bacterial small subunit ribosomal RNA", at positions 338 to 795 of the family's 1533-position model. The record is from RNAcentral.